Molecule: ribosomal RNA, 447 nt
Filed under: uncultured bacterium
Lineage: Bacteria
Description: bacterial SSU rRNA
Rfam family: Bacterial small subunit ribosomal RNA
Source: RNAcentral
UCCAGACUCCUACGGGAGGCAGCAGUGGGGGAUAUUGCACAAUGGGGGGAACCCUGAUGCAGCGACGCCGCGUGGGUGAAGGAGUGCUUCGGCAUGUAAAGCCCUAUCGGCAGGGAAGAAGCAAGACGGUACCUGACUAAGAAGCCCCGGCUAACUACGUGCCAGCAGCCGCGGUAAUACGUAGGGGGCAAGCGUUAUCCGGAUUUACUGGGUGUAAAGGGAGCGUAGACGGUCCUGCAAGCCAGAUGUGAAAGCCCGGGGCUCAACCCCGGGACUGCAUUUGGAACUGUAAGGCUAGAGUGUCGGAGAGGCAGGCGGAAUUCCUAGUGUAGCGGUGAAAUGCGUAGAUAUCAGGAGGAACACCGGCGGCGAAGGCGGCCUGCUGGACCGCGACUGACGUUGAGGCUCGAAAGCGUGGGGAGCGAACAGGAUUAGAUACCCCAGUAC